RNAcentral lists this ribosomal RNA (253 nucleotides) under uncultured bacterium. Its description in RNAcentral is "partial 16S ribosomal RNA". It matches the Rfam family "Bacterial small subunit ribosomal RNA", at positions 524 to 776 of the family's 1533-position model. The record is from RNAcentral.
UACGUAGGGUGCGAGCGUUGUCCGGAAUUAUUGGGCGUAAAGAGCUUGUAGGUGGUUUGUCGCGUCUGCUGUGAAAAUCCGGGGCUCAACCCCGGACUUGCAGUGGGUACGGGCAGACUAGAGUGUGGUAGGGGAGACUGGAAUUCCUGGUGUAGCGGUGAAAUGCGCAGAUAUCAGGAGGAACACCGAUGGCGAAGGCAGGUCUCUGGGCCACUACUGACGCUGAGAAGCGAAGGCAUGGGGAGCGAACAGG